AGUGAACGCUGGCGGUAGGCCUAACACAUGCAAGUCGAACGGCAGCACAGUAAGAGCUUGCUCUUACGGGUGACGAGUGGCGGACGGGUGAGGAAUACAUCGGAAUCUACUUUUUCGUGGGGGAUAACGUAGGGAAACUUACGCUAAUACCGCAUACGACCUACGGGUGAAAGCAGGGGAUCUUCGGACCUUGCGCGAUUGAAUGAGCCGAUGUCGGAUUAGCUAGUUGGCGGGGUAAAGGCCCACCAAGGCGACGAUCCGUAGCUGGUCUGAGAGGAUGAUCAGCCACACUGGAAGUGAGACACGGUCCAGACUCGUACGGGAGGCAGGAGUGGGGAAUAUUGGAAAAUGGGAGUAGGGCUGAUCGAGCCAUAGCGCGUGGGUGAAGAAGGCCUUGGGGUUGUAAAGCCCUUUUGUUGGGAAAGAAAAGGAGCAGGUUCAUACGCCGCUGUUGUGGCGGUACCGAAAGAAUAAGCAGCGGAUAACUUCG
This 490-nucleotide ribosomal RNA is filed under the name uncultured bacterium. RNAcentral describes it as "partial 16S ribosomal RNA". It matches the Rfam family "Bacterial small subunit ribosomal RNA", at positions 29 to 505 of the family's 1533-position model. The record is from RNAcentral.